Long non-coding RNA from Candoia aspera, 1436 nucleotides. RefSeq lists it as uncharacterized. The record is from RefSeq and is a predicted model, not a curated record. The transcript is spliced from 3 exons. NCBI's taxonomy places the organism in Eukaryota, Metazoa, Chordata, Lepidosauria, Squamata, Candoiidae.
AUGAAAUCUGCGCAGGACCAAAGAUGCCAUUCAUUCCGUUAAAAUCAAUGGGAAUUUUGUUGCUACUCUGACAAGUGGGUGGAUUGUUCUCCAGAGAGAGACAGGACUUACUUAUGGCAACAGUUUUUUUUUCCCAGAAGCAUCUCUUGCUUCAUGAAACACUUGGAGUCGUUAGAUACAGUAUUCUCCUAAGUAUUUUCCCAAGCGAUUUUGUCUUGGGGACAAGUGAUGGUGGGGAGGAAGGUCCCCUAAAUAUUUAUUUAAAGAGAGGGUUCAUAUUUUACAGAGCUGAGGAUGAGAAUAAAGCGCUCCUCUGCCCUCCUGUUGUGUUAGAGUACGUAUUCCAUGCUUCCCAACUCAACUCCAGCGGCUAUACUGUCUGGGGAAUGAUGGGAAUUACAGAUCUGCAGGGAAAUGGCUGAAAGCAGGUGGAGGCCGGACCAAGGAUGAAUGAAAUAUUCUGGUUUGUAAUGUAUUUUGGAGCCGCUUCCUUUUUUCAUGAAAUUUUGUGAUAUAUUCCAUGAUAUUUUUAUGAUUUUGUGAAAGUUAAUUGAAGCCCUUAUUCCUCUCAGGGAUAGGCAACUUAGUUUCCUCCACAUGCUUUAGAAUUCACUUAUCCCUGCCAUUGUCUGUGCUGAUUGGGGCAGAUGGGAGUUGAAAUCCACAACAUUGAGAAGGUACAAUACAACCCAUCUCUGCUCCUGUUUCUUCCUCUUGUAUGAACAUUAUUAUUAGUUGCCUUGGGAAAAUAUUUGAUAACUUAUUUUACCAGUUUGCUUUCAGUAUAUUCUUUAGACAUUUCUAUAAACUGCCUUCUUUAAUAAAAGUUAUAAAAUUGAUCCCCAGGACCUGAUUUCCUAAAUUAUAAUUUUGAAUUUCAUAAUCUGAUAGCAAUUAUCCAAAACAGUGUUCUUCUGCAUUACAAUUAAAACUCUACUAUUAAAAAUAUUGAGCAUAUUAAACAUUAAUACCAGGAUUGUGUAGUAGCACUAAGGGUUUGAUGGCCAAAAAAAAAAAAAAGGCUAUGGGAGUAUGCAGGGAUGCUUGCACCACAUCUGAAGGGAAUUCCUAAAACCAAGUAUAUUUUUCCCCAGGAUUUCACUGCAGCUGUGGAGAACAGCUGCAUGAUCCUGGGAAAAGAGACUACCCAAUGGCUGCACAUUCAUUGACAAUCUGUUCUAUCUAAUAUUGAUAGUUUAAAUCUGUUAAUUAAGCCAGUUGGUCAGAAAACAGUUUCGAUUACCACCUUGUCCUUGUAUCAGAUCUGUAGAUCCUCUGAAUGGAACUCCACUUACUAAGAGGUGAUUAUUGUCAAUUCUCACUGCAGCCUUUCUUCCCCUGAAAAUCUGCUCCAUCUCCAGAGAACUGAGGACCAUCUAGUCUAGCAAGGGUGGUGCAACAACUGCAAGAAGUGGUAAAAAUUCAAGACCUUUCCC